Molecule: ribosomal RNA, 882 nt
Filed under: uncultured bacterium
Lineage: Bacteria
Description: bacterial SSU rRNA
Rfam family: Bacterial small subunit ribosomal RNA
Source: RNAcentral
AACGAACGCUGGCGGCGUGGAUUAGGCAUGCAAGUCGAACGAUCUGCUGUAAUGCAGAUAGUGGCAAAAGGGUGAGUAACGCGUGGGUAAUUUGCCUUUAGGUUCGGGAUAACUUGCCGAAAGGCGAGCUAAUACCGGAAAGACCACAUCCAGAUACUUCUGGAUGUGGUUAAAGCUAGGGACCCCAACAGGGCCUGGUGCCUUUAGAUAAGCCCGCGUCCUAUCAGCUAGUUGGUAGGGUAAUGGCCUACCAAGGCGAUGACGGGUAGCUGGUCUAAGAGGAUGGUCAGCCACACUGGGACUGAGACACUGCCCAGACUCCUACGGGAGGCUGCAGUCGAGAAUCUUUUGCAAUGCGCGAAAGCGUGACAAUGCGACGCCGCGUGAGCGAUGAAGAUCUUCGGAUUGUAAAGCUCUGUCAGCCCGGAUGAAAGCUUUUGACCUAAUAUGUCAAAAGUCUGACGGUACGGGCAGAGGAAGCCACGGCUAACUCCGUGCCAGCAGCCGCGGUAAUACGGAGGUGGCAAGCGUUGUUCGGAUUUAUUGGGUGUAAAGGGUAUGUAGGUGUCCUGUUAAGUUCUUCCUGAAAUACUUUGGCUCAACCAAAGACACGGGAGGGAAACUGACAGGAUUGAGUACAGGAGAGGAAAGCGGAAUUCCCGGUGUAAGGGUGAAAUCUGUAGAUAUCGGGAGGAACACCAGUGGCGAAAGCGGCUUUCUGGCCUGAUACUGACACUGAAAUACGAAAGCAAGGGGAGCAAACAGGAUUAGAUACCCUGGUAGUCCUUGCCGUAAACGAUGGGCACUAGGUGUAUUCCGUUUUACGGAGUGUGCCGCAGUUAACACAUUAAGUGCCCCACCUGGGGAGACGACCGCAAGGUU